GGGUUGUGAGGUUAAGCGACUAAGCGUACACGGUGGAUGCCCUGGCAGUCAGAGGCGAUGAAGGACGUGCUAAUCUGCGAUAAGCGCCGGUAAGGUGAUAUGAACCGUUAUAACCGGCGAUUUCCGAAUGGGGAAACCCAGUGUGAUUCGUCACACUAUCAUUAACUGAAUCCAUAGGUUAAUGAGGCGAACCGGGGGAACUGAAACAUCUAAGUACCCCGAGGAAAAGAAAUCAACCGAGAUUCCCCCAGUAGCGGCGAGCGAACGGGGAGGAGCCCAGAGCCUGAAUCAGCAUGUGUGUUAGUGGAAGCGUCUGGAAAGGCGCGCGAUACAGGGUGACAGCCCCGUACACAAAAGCGCAUGUGCUGUGAGCUCGAUGAGUAGGGCGGGACACGUGGUAUCCUGUCUGAAUAUGGGGGGACCAUCCUCCAAGGCUAAAUACUCCUGACUGACCGAUAGUGAACCAGUACCGUGAGGGAAAGGCGAAAAGAACCCCGGCGAGGGGAGUGAAAAAGAACCUGAAACCGUGUACGUACAAGCAGUGGGAGCACAGGUUUACCUGUGUGACUGCGUACCUUUUGUAUAAUGGGUCAGCGACUUAUAUUCUGUAGCAAGGUUAACCGUAUAGGGGAGCCGGAGGGAAACCGAGUCUUAACCGGGCGUUAAGUUGCAGGGUAUAGACCCGAAACCCGGUGAUCUAGCCAUGGGCAGGUUGAAGGUUGGGUAACACUAACUGGAGGACCGAACCGACUAAUGUUGAAAAAUUAGCGGAUGACCUGUGGCUGGGGGUGAAAGGCCAAUCAAACCGGGAGAUAGCUGGUUCUCCCCGAAAGCUAUUUAGGUAGCGCCUCGUGAAUUCAUCUCCGGGGGUAGAGCACUGUUUCGGCUAGGGGGCCAUCCCGGCUUACCAACCCGAUGCAAACUGCGAAUACCGGAGAAUGUUAUCACGGGAGACACACGGCGGGUGCUAACGUCCGUCGUGAAGAGGGAAACAACCCAGACCGCCAGCUAAGGUCCCAAAGUCAUGGUUAAGUGGGAAACGAUGUGGGAAGGCCCAGACAGCCAGGAUGUUGGCUUAGAAGCAGCCAUCAUUUAAAGAAAGCGUAAUAGCUCACUGGUCGAGUCGGCCUGCGCGGAAGAUGUAACGGGGCUAAACCAUGCACCGAAGCUGCGGCAGCGACACUCAGGUGUUGUUGGGUAGGGGAGCGUUCUGUAAGCCUGUGAAGGUGGCCUGUGAGGGUUGCUGGAGGUAUCAGAAGUGCGAAUGCUGACAUAAGUAACGAUAAAGCGGGUGAAAAGCCCGCUCGCCGGAAGACCAAGGGUUCCUGUCCAACGUUAAUCGGGGCAGGGUGAGUCGACCCCUAAGGCGAGGCCGAAAGGCGUAGUCGAUGGGAAACGGGUUAAUAUUCCCGUACUUGGUGUUACUGCGAAGGGGGGGACGGAGAAGGCUAUGUUGGCCGGGCGACGGUUGUCCCGGUUUAAGCGUGUAGGUGUGUGUUCCAGGUAAAUCCGGUUCACUUUAACACUGAGGCGUGACGACGAGGCACUACGGUGCUGAAGCAACAAAUGCCCUGCUUCCAGGAAAAGCCUCUAAGCAUCAGGUAACAUCAAAUCGUACCCCAAACCGACACAGGUGGUCAGGUAGAGAAUACCAAGGCGCUUGAGAGAACUCGGGUGAAGGAACUAGGCAAAAUGGUGCCGUAACUUCGGGAGAAGGCACGCUGACACGUAGGUGAAGUGAUUUACUCAUGGAGCUGAAGUCAGUCGAAGAUACCAGCUGGCUGCAACUGUUUAUUAA
This 1798-nucleotide ribosomal RNA is filed under the name Salmonella enterica subsp. enterica serovar Paratyphi A str. SA19950809. Its description in RNAcentral is "bacterial LSU rRNA". It matches the Rfam family "Bacterial large subunit ribosomal RNA", at positions 1 to 1810 of the family's 2925-position model. The record is from RNAcentral. Lineage: Bacteria; Pseudomonadati; Pseudomonadota; Gammaproteobacteria; Enterobacterales; Enterobacteriaceae.